This 72-nucleotide transfer RNA is filed under the name Camelus bactrianus (Bactrian camel). It matches the Rfam family "tRNA". Rfam says of the family: Transfer RNA (tRNA) molecules are approximately 80 nucleotides in length. The record is from Rfam by way of RNAcentral. RNAcentral also lists the same sequence under 1 other name. Lineage: Eukaryota; Metazoa; Chordata; Mammalia; Artiodactyla; Camelidae.
GAGGGUAUAGCUCAGUGGUAGAGUGCCUCCUUAGCAUGCACAAGGUCCUGGGUUCAAUUCCUAGUGCCUCCA